GAUGAACGCUCGCGGCAGGCCUAAUACAUGCAAGUCGAACGGGUGGUCGCAAGACCACUAGUGGCGCACGGGUGCGUAACGCGUAACCAACCUGCCCCGAUCUGGGGGAUAGCCCGCCGAAAGGCGGAUUAAUACCGCAUAUACCCGCAGCCUGGCAUCAGGCAACGGGGAAAGAUUUAUUGGAUCGGGAUGGGGUUGCGUGACAUUAGCUAGUUGGCGGGGUAAGGGCCCACCAAGGCGACGAUGUCUAGGGGACCUGAGAGGGUGAUCCCCCACACUGGCACUGAGAUACGGGCCAGACUCCUACGGGAGGCAGCAGUAGGGAAUAUUGGGCAAUGGGCGAGAGCCUGACCCAGCCAUGCCGCGUGCCUGAUGAAGGCCUUCUGGGUUGUAAACGGCUUUUCUCAGGGAAGAAAAAGACCUUGCGAGGUACACUGACGGUACCUGAGGAAUAAGCACCGGCUAACUCCGUG
Molecule: ribosomal RNA, 473 nt
Filed under: uncultured bacterium
Lineage: Bacteria
Description: partial 16S ribosomal RNA
Rfam family: Bacterial small subunit ribosomal RNA
Source: RNAcentral